Molecule: non-coding RNA, 412 nt
Organism: Hemiscyllium ocellatum (epaulette shark)
Lineage: Eukaryota; Metazoa; Chordata; Chondrichthyes; Orectolobiformes; Hemiscylliidae
Source: the annotation of a RefSeq genome assembly
UCUGGAGUGUCUGACUCUGUCUCUGCUUCCACACGGCGAUGGGGAUUACUCCUUAUCUCUGUGUCCUCCUGCUCUGUCUGACAGGUAUCCGCUCUCAGAUCGUGCUGACACAGCCUGAGUCAGUUGUGAAAAAGCCGGGGGAGUCUGUCAGACUGACCUGUACAGUGAGUGGAUUCAGCCUCAGCAGCUACUACGUGUCCUGGGUGAGACAGGUCCCUGGGAAAGGGCUGGAAUGGUUACUUGCUUACAGACAAGGAUCUAGCACUUACUACGCACCCGGAGUUAAGGGUCGAAUCACGUUUUCAAUCGAAUCUUCGACAAAAACCUACAUUGAGAUUCCGAAUCUGAGAGUGGACGACACCGCCAUGUAUUACUGUGCCAGAUGGUCACAGUGAGACGAAAUGGGGCUGGA